GGCAGCAUGUGACGAUGAGGAAGAGGCCCUGGCAGCAUGUGACGAUGAGUAAGAGGCUCUGGGGGGACGUCAUACACAAAGCAUGAGUGUGACAACAAUGUUUGGAUUGUUUUAACAGAUGAAAAUGAGUCUGAGAGAGAAAAAAAGAGACUGUCUUUAAAUUCUGCUCAAAUCUGGAGCAGAGGAUAGCAACUUUAUUGCAAAAAUACACAUGAACUUUAUUUGUUUCUAGCACAGCAUUUACAAACAAACUCUGAAUGAAAAUCUGUCAAGCUUUUAUAUGGGCAAAGCUCAUCCAUUAGGCUUAAAGGCUAUUCAAUGUCUGUACAAACAUUUAUAUACAUACUUCAACAGUCCCAGUAUGCGAUGGACCACCUACAUUUUGGUACAGUUUAAGGAUCAAGAAAAUGGACUCUGCUCAGUAGUCUGCUCAUUGUCCUCAAGGGGGCAGUGUUGCUCAACUGGCUGUUCUGUACACAUCACAUUGAUAAGCUCCUAACCUAAAAAGGUUGUCCACUUCAUUGAAACAUUGGCAGCUGAAUCACUGGACAAGGCUUUAUAGUUUAUAGUUGUGCUGGACUAAACCACAACCCAGGUCAGUUUCGGUUUACUCUAUUUUUGCAGUCUGAACAAAUCUUAAAGAUGAAUGCAGUCAAAAUUCUACAAUUCAAUAUAUGGUUUAGCAGAGAGUGAUCCUUGUCUAAGACAAGCCAUGGUAAGUAUUGAUUUAACAGAACAGCUACAAUCCAGUUUUCUCAGGACUUUUCAGUGAGUUAAAUCUGUUCGCCCCUGAAGAACCCUUUCCACUCUUGUGACCUGCAUAGUCUAUGGAGAGCCAUUCCCAUUGGUGUACUAGUAGCAUUUAGCCAGCAGUGUCAAAAAUAUAGAAAAAUAAAUGUAAAAAUAUGCAACAAAAAAAUAGGCAAAAACUUCAUCUUAAAACAAAACAAGUUUCAUUUUCAUUCCUUCAUUUAAACGGAACGCUUUAACAAAAAGCAUCUUUGUAAGGCUUUACAUUUAUUUUUCAUGUAAGUGAAAACAAAAACAAAAACUACAACAUUAAAAAAAAAAACAUUGGGAGCUGUGACGAGGUCCCAUGAUGCUACAUCUCUGCCCUUGCUAACGCUAGGUGACCCCCAAUGUAACCUGCCUGCCCUUGCUAACGCUAGGUGACCCCCAAUGUAACCUGCCUGCCCUUGCUAACGCUAGGUGACCCCCAAUGUAACCUGCCUGCCCUUGCUAAUGCUAAGUGACCCCCAAUGUAACCUGCCUGCCUAGAAAACGGGCAGACAUGUUGUUUUAAUGAGUACAUCUGCUUCAAAUUCAGUCAGUGUGUAAAAAAAGAUCCCUUGGGGGGGGGGGGGGGGAAUGGCAAAAUCAAGGAUUUGUGGUGUAACAGGGAAAUAUUGAACUGGAACUGUGGAGAUAGUAAUAGAAGAAUAAAUAACAUCGCCGCCGCCACCUCCUCUCUAAAGAAACCCCGACAAAUCUACCAAGUCUCAAACUCUAUAGCCAGAUCUGAAGAGGAAAACUCCUGUUUCAACAUGCAGGUUUUCCGUUUCGUCUGAUAAAAGCUGUAUGGCGCUUAUGGGUUGCAAACACCUGUGCCUCAAACAACCUAUCCUAGCGAACAAAAUAUAAAUAUUUCACAAAACGUUUCUCCCGGAACAUCGGAGAACAGCGACUUUUUUUUCCUCCUUACUAAAUCUUCUAGUGUGCUGCACUUCUGAAGUGCACUAAUUGGUGUGAACACUGUUACGUUCAUUGCAUGGCACUAAAAUAAACGAUUUUUGAAAAUAUCAUCGACAUAAACGAUCGUAAUCGACAUUAGUCAUCCUCUGCACAGCAACCAUGACACAUUAUGGUUGGAAAGCCCUUUACCUCUGCAAAACAAGAACCAGACAGUGCUAGGCUAUAGAUACACCAAAACGUCUGAAAAAGAAGUUAAUAGUAUACAGAUUAAUUAGUAAGAUAGUUGUGGUAACACUUGGAUUUUUAGUAAUCACUGAAAUGAUGAAGCAUUCAUAGUCUUAAUUACGCAUUAACAGUUCUGAGUAAAUAACUACUAAUUAAUUAAUUGUUAUGAUGGAUAUAAAUAAAACGAUUGGUUUGUGGGAGGGAGAGUAGCGUGCGUCUCGUUGCCUCUGACAGCUAAAUAAAAGGACCCUGAAUAGCAGAAAAGGAUUUCUUGCUCAAGAGAUCCACGUCUGAAUUGCAGUUGAUCUAAACCUUGUGGUCGCCUCUGCCUCAUCCAUCUGAUGGCUAUUCUAAAUCCCUCUCCCUCUCCACUGUCCCUCCCCCAGGCCCCCACCUCUCCACUGUCCCUCCCCAAGGCCCUCACCUCUCCAGUGUCCCUCCCCCAGGCCCUCUCCCUCUCCAGUGUCCCUCCCCCAGGCCCUCACCUCUCCAGUGUCCCUCCCCCAGGCCCUCUCCCUCUCCAGUGUCCCUCCCCCAGGCCCUCUCCCUCUCCAGUGUCCCUCCCCCAG
Clupea harengus (Atlantic herring) is the source of this 2486-nucleotide long non-coding RNA. The record is from Ensembl. NCBI's taxonomy places the organism in Eukaryota, Metazoa, Chordata, Actinopteri, Clupeiformes, Clupeidae.